This 69-nucleotide transfer RNA is filed under the name Marmota marmota marmota (Alpine marmot). It matches the Rfam family "tRNA". Rfam says of the family: Transfer RNA (tRNA) molecules are approximately 80 nucleotides in length. Their secondary structure includes four short double-helical elements and three loops (D, anti-codon, and T loops). Lineage: Eukaryota; Metazoa; Chordata; Mammalia; Rodentia; Sciuridae. RNAcentral also lists the same sequence under 1 other name. The record is from Rfam by way of RNAcentral.
GGGGCUGUAGCUCAGUGGCAGAGCACUCACCUAGCAUGUGUGAGGCACUGGGUUCGAUCCUUAGCACCA